This 385-nucleotide ribosomal RNA is filed under the name Draconarius sp. ZZ943. Its description in RNAcentral is "partial 16S ribosomal RNA". Lineage: Eukaryota; Metazoa; Arthropoda; Arachnida; Araneae; Agelenidae. The record is from RNAcentral.
CUCAAUGUAAUUAAAUAGCCGCAAUACUUGUGCUAAGGUAGCAUAAUCAUUUGUUUUUUAAUUAAAAACUAGAACGAAAGAUUUAACAUUUUUAUUUCUAUCUAACAUGUAUUUAUUUAAUUUAUUUCAAUUAUAAAAAAAUAUUUAUAUAUUAAGAAGACGACAAGACCCUAUUGAACUUAACUAAAGUUAAACUGGGGUAGUAAGUCAAAUACAAUUUUAAUUAAAUUUUCAAAAAACCUAAUACAAUUAAAAAAUCAAGUUACCAUAGGGAUAACAGCGUAAUAAAUUUCAUAAGAUCUUAUUUAAAAAUUUGUUUACGACCUCGAUGUUGAAUUAAUAAUCUAUUAAAUGCAACAACUUAAUAAGAAAGUCUGUUCGACUU